GUCGCUGCAACCACAGCGACCGGGAUUGGCGUCCCGAACGAAAAGGCGGAUCGCCGCCGCCAGGCGGCAUUUUU
Cupriavidus sp. SK-3 is the source of this 74-nucleotide non-coding RNA. The record is from Rfam. Lineage: Bacteria; Pseudomonadati; Pseudomonadota; Betaproteobacteria; Burkholderiales; Burkholderiaceae.